CACUGCACACUCUCACAGGGCUUGGGGAAGGACUCAAUCAGAAUUGCUUGGCCACACUGAAGUGAAAUAUUGAGGUUUAAACAUCAGGGUACAGUGAUGAUUUCAACAGCUAUCCGAGAAACCACAGAAAUAUAUCUUCAGGAUCUUCCCUGUAGCUCAGACAGUAGAGAAUCUGCUUGCAAUGCAGGAGACCUGGGUUUGAUCCCUGGGUCAGGAAGAUCCUUCAGAGAAGGGAACAGCAAUCCACUCCAGGAUUCUUGCCUGCAGAAUCUCAUGGACAGGAGAGCCUGGUGAGCUACAGUCCGUGGGGUCGCAAAGAAUUGGACACAAUUGAGCAAUGAUGCUACUAAUACUAUUACCUUCAGGAUCUAAGGAUAAUGAUAGCAUAAGCCAACAUAUUUCUUUUUACUCAAUAAACAAUGUCAACAUUAAUGACAUGCCUAGGGGAAGAAGAACCUAAGUUUUCUUUCGGCAGUGGUCCCAUUGCUUCCAGAAUUAGGGUGCCUGUUUUUCAGGCUGAUCAAAGCUGGGGAACAAAUCCCUGUUUGAUGUGUCUGGCACAUUUUUAAUGGUACCUUUGUAAAAACAAUUGAUAAGUAAUAUUUGUUGAGAAUUUGGGGCAUGUCUAUCCAGGAUUAAGGAUUUUCCCUGUAGCUUGGAGGGUAAAGAAUCUGCUUGUAGUGCAGGAAACCUGGGUUCGAUGCCUGGCUUGGGAAGAUCCUUUGGAGAAGGGAAUGACAAUCCACUCCAGUAUUCUUACCUGGAGAAUCCCAUAGACAGAGGAACCUGGCAGGCGAUAGUCCACUGGGUUGCAAAGAGUUGGACACGACUGAGCAACUAACACUACUACUACUAUCCUGGACUGAGUGCUUUCCAUGAAUUAUUUUAUUUAAUAUUCACAUUAAUCCAGCUAAGUACUGUUAUCUGGCCAAUAGAAAAACUGAACUGGAAUACUUAAGUAGUUUCCCUAAAUUUAGUAAUUGAUAGAGCUAUGGAAUCAGACUAUGCUUGAUCUGAUUCUAGAAUUGGCACUGUUACUCUCUAUACCGUGUUACUGUUAAUUCAUGCACAUGAAAUAGACAACUACAGGCUUAGAUAUCUUUGAAGGACAGAUUGAAAGCAACCUUAAAAAAGACAUUUGUCUUAGGUAUUCAGUGUGUUAUGGAAAGGACAAAGGGCUGAUAAUACUGUUAGAUAAGUUUUUGUUGUGUGUUUUCUGAAGAGAAAAGAAUCCUAGAUUAUUAAUGCUAAAUAUCCAAGAUUAUUCACUGGACACUUAACUUCCUUCUGUUGACAUUAAAAGAAACUUAUGAGCUACUGUGUUGAAAUGGCC
Molecule: long non-coding RNA, 1333 nt
Filed under: Bos indicus x Bos taurus (hybrid cattle)
Lineage: Eukaryota; Metazoa; Chordata; Mammalia; Artiodactyla; Bovidae
Description: lncRNA (ENSBIXG00000023092.1)
Rfam family: tRNA (bases 645-716)
Source: RNAcentral